RNAcentral lists this ribosomal RNA (504 nucleotides) under uncultured bacterium. RNAcentral describes it as "bacterial SSU rRNA". It matches the Rfam family "Bacterial small subunit ribosomal RNA", at positions 9 to 507 of the family's 1533-position model. The record is from RNAcentral.
GAGUUUGAUCGUGGCUCAGAUUGAACGCUGGCGGCAGGCCUAACACAUGCAAGUCGAGCGGUAGAGAGAAGCUUGCUUCUCUUGAGAGCGGCGGACGGGUGAGUAAUGCCUAGGAAUCUGCCUGGUAGUGGGGGAUAACGCUCGGAAACGGACGCUAAUACCGCAUACGUCCUACGGGAGAAAGCAGGGGACCUUCGGGCCUUGCGCUAUCAGAUGAGCCUAGGUCGGAUUAGCUAGUUGGUGAGGUAAUGGCUCACCAAGGCGACGAUCCGUAACUGGUCUGAGAGGAUGAUCAGUCACACUGGAACUGAGACACGGUCCAGACUCCUACGGGAGGCAGCAGUGGGGAAUAUUGGACAAUGGGCGAAAGCCUGAUCCAGCCAUGCCGCGUGUGUGAAGAAGGUCUUCGGAUUGUAAAGCACUUUAAGUUGGGAGGAAGGGCAGGUAAAUUAAUACUUUGCUGUUUUGACGUUACCGACAGAAUAAGCACCGGCUAACUCUGUG